This 453-nucleotide ribosomal RNA is filed under the name uncultured bacterium. RNAcentral's name for it is "bacterial SSU rRNA". It matches the Rfam family "Bacterial small subunit ribosomal RNA", at positions 328 to 794 of the family's 1533-position model. The record is from RNAcentral.
CCCCCAGACUCCUACGGGAGGCAGCAGUGGGGAAUAUUGGUCAAUGGAGGCCCCUCUUACCCAGCCCUGCCGCGUGAAUGAAGACGGUCUUCGGCUUUUCAAGUUCUUUACUUUGGGACGAACCCCCUGACGGUACCCCCUUAAUAAGCCCCUUCUAACUACGUUCCCUCAGCCGCGUUCCUCCGUAGGGGUCCCGCGUUGUUCGUACUUCCUGGGCGUAAAGGGUGUGUAGGCGGGGUAGCAAGUUAGAAGGGAAAUACCUAGAGCUGAACGCAGGUGCUGCUUCUAAAACUGCUAUACUUGAGUGCAGUAGAGGAAAGUGGAAUUCCUAGUGUAGCGGGGGAAUGCGUAGAUAGGAGGAGGAACAUCAGUGGCGAAGGCGACUUUCUGGACUGUAACUGACGCUGAGGCACGAAAGGGUGGGGAGCAAACAGGAUUAGAUACCCUGGUAAC